This 90-nucleotide transfer RNA is filed under the name Colletotrichum liriopes. It matches the Rfam family "tRNA". From Rfam's summary of the family: Transfer RNA (tRNA) molecules are approximately 80 nucleotides in length. Their secondary structure includes four short double-helical elements and three loops (D, anti-codon, and T loops). RNAcentral also lists the same sequence under 1 other name. The record is from Rfam by way of RNAcentral. Lineage: Eukaryota; Fungi; Ascomycota; Sordariomycetes; Glomerellales; Glomerellaceae.
GCGGACAUAGCUCAGUUGGGAGAGCGUCAGACUGAAGUCAACUUCAUUCACUCAAUCUGAAGGUCGUGUGUUCAAUCCACACUGGCCGCA